RNAcentral lists this transfer RNA (87 nucleotides) under Bacteroidota bacterium. RNAcentral describes it as "tRNA-Ser". It matches the Rfam family "tRNA". Rfam says of the family: Transfer RNA (tRNA) molecules are approximately 80 nucleotides in length. Their secondary structure includes four short double-helical elements and three loops (D, anti-codon, and T loops). Further hydrogen bonds mediate the characteristic L-shaped molecular structure. tRNAs have two regions of fundamental functional importance: the anti-codon, which is responsible for specific mRNA codon recognition, and the 3' end, to which the tRNAs corresponding amino acid is attached (by aminoacyl-tRNA synthetases). tRNAs cope with the degeneracy of the genetic code in two manners: having more than one tRNA (with a specific anti-codon) for a particular amino acid; and 'wobble' base-pairing, i.e. permitting non-standard base-pairing at the 3rd anti-codon position. RNAcentral also lists the same sequence under 3 other names. Lineage: Bacteria; Pseudomonadati; Bacteroidota. The record is from RNAcentral.
GGAGAGGUGUCCGAGUGGCUGAAGGAGCACGCCUGGAAAGUGUGUAUAGUGGAAACGCUAUCGCGGGUUCGAAUCCCGCCCUCUCCG